Anguilla anguilla (European eel) is the source of this 145-nucleotide long non-coding RNA. RefSeq lists it as uncharacterized. The record is from RefSeq and is a predicted model, not a curated record. NCBI's taxonomy places the organism in Eukaryota, Metazoa, Chordata, Actinopteri, Anguilliformes, Anguillidae. The transcript is spliced from 3 exons.
GGGGUAGAGUGUGUGAGUGUGUGGUGGAGGGUGUGAGUAUGGGGUAGAGUAUGUGAGUCUGUUUGGAUGCUUUUUAAAGAGGUCACUGAGUGUGUCAGAUUCAAGCUCACUGCUGAUGAGAGAUGUAAACACAGGAAUGACCAUG